Solanum tuberosum (potato) is the source of this 332-nucleotide long non-coding RNA. RefSeq lists it as uncharacterized. The record is from RefSeq and is a predicted model, not a curated record. The transcript is spliced from 3 exons. NCBI's taxonomy places the organism in Eukaryota, Viridiplantae, Streptophyta, Magnoliopsida, Solanales, Solanaceae.
GUAAGGACUGGUUUCAACUUAUUUCUUCAAGUUUUUCUCAUCUUCAAUCCACCAAAGCUUAAGGAAAAAGUAUUGUUCUUGGAGAAUAAAGAGGGCAGGGGCUGCUUUUCUUUGAUAUAUAGGCUCAGGUACUCAGGACAACAAGCAUUUUCAUUAGACUAGAGACUUCCAGUUUAGCAGUUGGUAAGCUCCACCUCUACCUGGAGCUAUCAGAUAUUUAGAGCCUAUAUUUUUCUACGUAUAUACAUAUAUCAGAAUGGGCAUGUCGGCGCCCUGUCUCGACUAGUUAUCAGAUUCUCAGAGGCAUACUCUUUAGAGGCUUCGUAGACUUA